RNAcentral lists this unclassified non-coding RNA (1269 nucleotides) under Hevea brasiliensis (rubber tree). The record is from RNAcentral. Lineage: Eukaryota; Viridiplantae; Streptophyta; Magnoliopsida; Malpighiales; Euphorbiaceae.
GUGGGAGUGUGUGGACUUUUACCCGGUAUCUACUAAAAAAACAAACGGGUUGGACACAUCAUAUAACGGGCCGGGUGUAAAGCAUGUGUUAAAAGCAAGUUUAGAUGACAAUAAGCAAGAUCAUUAUGCUAUUGGUACGUAUGACUUGGGAAAGAACAAAUGGACACCCGAUAACCCGGAAUUGGAUUGUGGAAUUGGGUUGAGACUAGACUAUGGGAAAUAUUAUGCAUCAAAGACUUUUUAUGACCCGAAGAAAGAACGAAGAGUACUGUGGGGAUGGAUUGGGGAAACUGACAGUGAAUCUGCUGACCUGCAGAAGGGAUGGGCAUCUGUACAGAGUAUUCCAAGGACAGUGCUUUACGACAAGAAGACAGGGACACAUCUACUUCAGUGGCCAGUGGAAGAAAUUGAAAGCUUAAGAGUGGGUGAUCCUACUGUUAAGCAAGUCGAUCUUCAACCAGGCUCAAUUGAGCUACUCCGUGUUGACUCAGCUGCAGAGUUGGAUAUAGAAGCCUCAUUUGAAGUGGACAAAGUCGCGCUUCAGGGAAUAAUUGAAGCAGAUCAUGUAGGUUUCAGUUGCUCUACUAGUGGAGGUGCUGCUAGCAGAGGCAUUUUGGGACCAUUUGGUGUCAUAGUAAUUGCUGAUCAAACGCUAUCUGAGCUAACGCCAGUUUACUUUUACAUUUCUAAAGGAGCUGAUGGUCGUGCAGAGACUCACUUCUGUGCUGAUCAAACUAGAUCCUCUGAGGCUCCGGGAGUUGGUAAACAAGUUUAUGGUAGUUCAGUACCUGUGUUGGACGGUGAAAAACAUUCAAUGAGAUUAUUGGUGGAUCACUCAAUUGUGGAGAGCUUUGCUCAAGGAGGAAGAACAGUCAUAACAUCGCGAAUUUACCCAACAAAGGCAGUAAAUGGAGCAGCACGACUCUUUGUUUUCAACAAUGCCACAGGGGCUAGCGUUACUGCCUCCGUCAAGAUUUGGUCACUUGAGUCAGCUAAUAUUCAAUCCUUCCCUUUGCAAGACUUGUAAUCUUCUUUAUUUCGUUUUUUUUUUCUUUUUCAUUUGAAGGUUAUUUCACCGACGUCCCAUCAAGAAAGGGAAGAGGGAGAUCAAUAUAUGUAGUGUUAUUCGCCCUACCUUAGGAUUAGAUGUCAUCUAGCAAUGUCAAAUCUAGUAGAGUAUACAAUGUAUGGGUUCCUGGAAACCGAGUAGAGCUUACCUGGAUUCUAUGUAAACUAAGAAAGCUCAGCAAAUAUAUGCACAAAUAAUUU